RNAcentral lists this long non-coding RNA (936 nucleotides) under Paramuricea clavata. Lineage: Eukaryota; Metazoa; Cnidaria; Anthozoa; Malacalcyonacea; Plexauridae. The record is from RNAcentral.
GUGAAAUAUCCAAAUUGCCAUUCCGCCACGGAUCACUGAUUAAGCAUUGGGGAAAAGGAAGGUCCAUUGUUUCCAAAUGAAGCACGGAAAUUAAUUCCUCCGCAGUUCAGUUACUACUCGCUCCCAACACUACAUCUCCCUCCAUAUACCCAAACCCCCAUUCUCAUAUACCCAAACCCCCAUUCUCAUAUACCAAACCCCCAUUCUCAUAUACCCAAACCCCCAUUCUCAUAUACCAAACCCCCAUUCUCAUAUACCAAACCCCCAUUCCCAAAUACCCUACAACACCGCCGAUUCACCUGUGCCACACACACAAACCAAACUAUAAUCUAUUAAGCAAAGAAACCGGCAAUGGACAGUAUAAAAAAAAAUGCAAGUGAAAAGCGAUAGGUGGACUAGCAUGGUCAAGCGACAAUGAACGCAGAGAAUAACCCGGAACUGAUGCCACAGGUCUGGUCCCCGGGAGAAAUUUCCACCCAAUGACUCGCUUCUUAAGACGCUCAGAAGCUGCUAACGGAACAAAAAACAGCCGUAUCAACAGGUUCCCAUUCAGGCACAACAACUGUUUGACAAGAAAAAAAGAGACGUUUAGCGAGUGGCGAGAGAAAAGAUGAACAUAGAAGUAAAUCCCCAAAGUACCCCCCGGAAGGACCAGAAAAGGGCGACAGUCCCGGCACAACUGCUAGAGUCAAACACAAAGAGCUUUAGAAAGGCCUGGGAAAGUUGACCCCCACCAGCCAAGAAAAAAAGAAAGAACCCAAGAAAUGCAAACGAAAACCAGCUAACGAGCGCAAACACAAGAUCAGUAAUUUCAUACACACUCGAAAAACAUAUAUUGCCCAAGAAUUGGGUGAUUCGCGUAUGGCAAGGAAGGUAUACUGUUCUGAAUCGCCAAAACAUUGGCCCUUGACUGUCCAAUCCAAAUGCAGUAAGCCC